GCCUUACUGAGCACCUGUUCUGUGCAAGGUCCUGGCUAAACCAAGUGGGUGGGAUAAAUAAGUCCUGACAUAGUUUGCAUUCUACUUGGAGAGGCUGAUGCAUCAGUACCACUGUGAGAUGCAUGUAAUCAGAGUGGUUUGCAAACAGUGCCCCAAGAUGGUGGAGGACAAGCAUAGUACUCUCCACCUGGGGCCUCACUGGGGCCACAUUUGCUAUGAGUCCAGGAGAGUCAGAAGUGCAUUCCUAGGUAGGGAAGUGGGCUGAGGAGGGAAAUCUGGGAUGGUGAUAGAGAGUUCCACCCAAUUUGACUUUGAUAAGAAAGGGAAAGUACUGCAAGGUACUGAGCUGACUAUUUAGGAUGUGUACGCUUAGAACUAGAAAAUGUCCUGUUUUCUAAAAACAAUGAAAUACUCGAAUAUGGGGGAAAUUGUGUAUGCAUGUUAGUUGGGGGGCUUUCAACUAGGGCUCAUUAGGAAGAAACCUCACCAAUCUUUCUUUCACUAUGUGGCAGAUAGUUGAACUAUUUGAUUUUACAGCAAAGAACUUACAAAAAGAGUGCCUUUGUUCCCAGGUUGAAAGCACAAGAAAAUACCAAAAACUUGUAUCAUGCCAGCUUCUAGGUAGAAAAUCAUUCAUAUCAUUUUCCGGUUACUAAUUUUGUUAGUGGUAAUCAUUUAUGCUCUUUCCUCACCCUAGGGGUGCUGACCCUCAUCAUAGGAGAGGCUUGACUUGUGGAGUGAGGAUCCAUUUCCCCCAUCCAAGCCAAACAGCUGCAGGGAAAUGGGGCAGUUUGACCCGAGCGGCAGCUCUGUCCUAGGAGAAGACUGUGCUGUAACCUGGGGACAAAGACUGAAGACAAAGCUCAAAGCAGUGCUCUCUAAAAGCAAGGUGUCCCUCGAUGUCUGAAGAAGUUACAGUGUUGACCUAUAGGCUUUUAGGGGAGAACAGGAGGAUGCCUUGUGCCUGUUUCCAGUCUUUCCAUGAGAACGACCAGUUGGUGUUUACACAUGAAAGGGAACUGAUGUCCUAUGCCUGUACAUCAGAGGGAAGUACCUGUUUUACUUUGAAUUCAAUAGGCAGCUAAUGAGUUUUCCAUUCCUUCUGAUCUCAAGCUGCUGUCACGUCCACUAGUGGGUGAUCUGAUGUUCUUUCUGUUGCAAAAGAAGACUUUCUGAACUCCUGUGUGAGUGGUUAUUUAUGAAGGUUGGAGUUUGAAAAUAAU
RNAcentral lists this long non-coding RNA (1223 nucleotides) under Callithrix jacchus (white-tufted-ear marmoset). RNAcentral describes it as "lncRNA (ENSCJAG00000086806.1)". The record is from RNAcentral. Lineage: Eukaryota; Metazoa; Chordata; Mammalia; Primates; Cebidae.